Molecule: ribosomal RNA, 492 nt
Filed under: uncultured bacterium
Lineage: Bacteria
Description: partial 16S ribosomal RNA
Rfam family: Bacterial small subunit ribosomal RNA
Source: RNAcentral
AGUGAACGCUGGCGGUAGGCCUAACACAUGCAAGUCGAACGGCAGCACAGUAAGAGCUUGCUCUUACGGGUGGCGAGUGGCGGACGGGUGAGGAAUACAUCGGAAUCUACUUUUUCGUGGGGGAUAACGUAGGGAAACUUACGCUAAUACCGCAUACGACCUACGGGUGAAAGCAGGGGAUCUUCGGACCUUGCGCGAUUGAAUGAGCCGAUGUCGGAUUAGCUAGUUGGCGGGGUAAAGGCCCACCAAGGCGACGAUCCGUAGCUGGUCUGAGAGGAUGAUCAGCCACACUGGAGCUGAGACACGGUCCAGACUCCUACGGGAGGCAGCAGUGGGGAAUAUUGGACAAUGGGCGCAAGCCUGAUCCAGCCAUACCGCGUGGGUGAAGAAGGCCUUGGGGUUGUAAAGCCCUUUUGUUGGGAAAGAAAAGCAGCAGGUUAAUACCCCGCUGUUCUGACGGUACCCAAAGAAUAAGCACCGGCUAACUUCGUG